AGUGAACGCUGGCGGUAGGCCUAACACAUGCAAGUCGAACGGCAGCACAGUAAGAGCUUGCUCUUACGGGUGGCGAGUGGCGGACGGGUGGGGAAUACAUCGGAAUCUACUUUUUCGUGGGGGAUAACGUAGGGAAACUUACGCUAAUACCGCAUACGACCUACGGGUGAAAGCAGGGGAUCUUCGGACCUUGCGCGAUUGAAUGAGCCGAUGUUGGAUUAUCUAGUUGGCGGGGUAAAGGCCCACCAAGGCGACGAUCCGUAGCUGGUCUGAGAGGAUGAUCAGCCACACUGGAACUGAGACACGGUCCAGACUCCUACGGGAGGCAGCAGUGGGGAAUAUUGGACAAUGGGCGCAAGCCUGAUCCAGCCAUACCGCGUGGGUGAAGAAGGCCUUCGGGUUGUAAAGCCCUUUUGUUGGGAAAGAAAAGCAGCAGGUUAAUACCCCGCUGUUCUGACGGUACCCAAAGAAUAAGCACCGGCUAACUUCGUG
Molecule: ribosomal RNA, 492 nt
Filed under: uncultured bacterium
Lineage: Bacteria
Description: partial 16S ribosomal RNA
Rfam family: Bacterial small subunit ribosomal RNA
Source: RNAcentral